This 76-nucleotide transfer RNA is filed under the name Woeseiaceae bacterium. RNAcentral describes it as "tRNA-Thr". It matches the Rfam family "tRNA". Rfam says of the family: Transfer RNA (tRNA) molecules are approximately 80 nucleotides in length. Their secondary structure includes four short double-helical elements and three loops (D, anti-codon, and T loops). Further hydrogen bonds mediate the characteristic L-shaped molecular structure. tRNAs have two regions of fundamental functional importance: the anti-codon, which is responsible for specific mRNA codon recognition, and the 3' end, to which the tRNAs corresponding amino acid is attached (by aminoacyl-tRNA synthetases). tRNAs cope with the degeneracy of the genetic code in two manners: having more than one tRNA (with a specific anti-codon) for a particular amino acid; and 'wobble' base-pairing, i.e. permitting non-standard base-pairing at the 3rd anti-codon position. The record is from RNAcentral. Lineage: Bacteria; Pseudomonadati; Pseudomonadota; Gammaproteobacteria; Woeseiales; Woeseiaceae.
GCCGGUGUAGCUCAGUUGGUAGAGCGGUACAUUCGUAAUGUAUAGGUCCGUGGUUCGAUUCCGCGCACCGGCACCA